Molecule: long non-coding RNA, 927 nt
Filed under: Vigna radiata
Lineage: Eukaryota; Viridiplantae; Streptophyta; Magnoliopsida; Fabales; Fabaceae
Description: long non-coding RNA (VRAD_LNC003909)
Source: RNAcentral
AAAUUCAAAGAAAAAAUAUAAAAAUUCUAACGAAUAUUGAGAGAAGAAUUCUCAUAGAUUUCGAAAUGAUUAAUUCUGCUGUGGUCAAAUAUUAAUAAAGGGGGUUACUCCCUCUACCUCUCCAAUUCCAUCCCCCACUCCUCCCAAUUUUUUUGGAUUUUUUUUAAAUACAAAAAUAACCUUGUUGUUUUAUUUAUUUUUACCUUUAUACCCCUAUUUACUAAAGUUAACCUACCUGUCUCUUUUACACUCUGAACACACACAGAUUCAAGAUUCUCUCCUUCGUAUAAUCCCACCCCCACCAAAGCUUUCAUUUUCAAAUGCUCUCUGCAACUCUCACUCUUCCCGUCCUCCUCUGAACCUGCUGUUGCUUUGUGCGGCCUGUUGGUGUGCGGCGGGUGGCAGUGCCGUGAGUGUGUGGCGGUCCGGCGCAGUGUGGAGAGGUGUAGACGUUGGUUUCGUUUUGCGGGUGUGUUGGGCUGUGCGGUUGUGUUUGGUGCUUUGCAGCCGGUGUGUGCGGCGGCGCGGAGGGUGCUGGUGCGGCGGAUGUUGCGGCGGUGCGGGGCGGUGGUUCUUCUUCGUUCGUUUCGACAGGUUAGUUUCUUUUCGUUUCUUCUAUUUUUUUUUAAUGUAUGUAAUGUGUAGGAUUGGGUAGUUUUCUCUAUUGUUGAUAUUUGGUUGGUGUGUUUGUUGAGGUUUUUGUGGUCUGCUGUUGAGUUCUGUGUUAUUUGUGUGUUCUGUGUUGUGUGUAUUGAAGAAGAAGACGUCCAAUGUCGAUAUCAGUUGACGGAUGUCGACAUCCGUUUCCUAUUUUUAUGUUUUUAGUUUAUUUUAUAAGUAAUUAUAUUUUAACUUUUUAUUUUCAAUUCAUUUUGUUACGUUUUUAAUUUUUUUUGUUUUAUUAGUUUAUUGUAUUUAUAAUUAAUU